GAAGAAAAAAUUGUAAAAUAAUUUUCCAAACAUAUAUUUUUAGUCAUCAAAAGUUAGAAAAAAAAUAUUACAAAAACCAGUUUACAGCAAGUCGGAAUUCGUAUCAAACGUUUUAUUGUGUAAAGAGCGCAAAUUAUUUGUAAAAAAGUUACUGAAACAAAAAUAAGGCGCUAAGAAAAAACUAAACAUUCCGACAUCGAAUUUGAAAUUCGAAAUAAAUCUACUUUUUGUAUUCCCAACAUUUACUCCCUGCUGCUUUUGCUGCACACUGAAUGUCUUUUAUAGUUGCUACGAGUAAGUCUACAGGAAUCAUUACAUGUGGAUUAAAAUGUCUUCACGCAUAGAAACUUCAUCUUUACGAUAGUCACUUGAUGAAAGGGUAUUUUUUACAUUAUUUCUUUAAGGAUAAUGUUUAAAUAAAUAUCAUUUUCGCCAACUACAAUAGUUUCAAUUGAAUUAUAGAAAGAAAUUUUAAAAAUAGAAGCCACGUAACUACUUCGGUAAAAAUUAAUAGGUGCUUAAAUUACAUGUGCACUAACGCUCUACUAACGCAGAAAACAAAAAGUCUUUGAUUAACAAUUUAAGAAAAUAAGUGCUUACAAAUUUUUUUUUACAUUUAAUUGCUUGCUAAAAAGAAAAAAGGAGAGAGAUAAGAUUUUUAAUCAAAAACUUGGUGCUUCAAAAUCGUGCAAAACAACAAUUUGCUGGUAAUCAACGCAAAGCAAACAAUUGUAAAAAAGUUAUUGAUUGCUCUCAUAAUCUGGCGACACAUCGUUAAGCUAUUUGCAGCAAAUGUCUCACUAGCAUAAAUAAGAUUUUGUCUUACAUACGAUAAUAAACUUAAUAAUAACCGCAAUAAUAAUAAGAAACAAACUUAAGACCAACAACAAUGGAACAUUUAGAUUUGGCUGGCAUUUUAACAACACCACCACAAUGGAAUGUGCCUGCGUUCGAACAACAAGCUGGAUUUUGUUGCAAGUCACUACACAGAGUCAGCCGCUGCUUAUGCUGCCUUUACUACAAGCAAUGCGUAUACAGUAUGGCGACAUUAUACGCCAUCAUAACCUAAGCGACAGUGAAAACCUAAAUAAGAAAUAAAUUAAAAAGGGCAUCACCAAGAUCUUUCUUAAAAAUAAAAGGGUAGGGUUCCCAAACGUCGACAGCGCAAAAGCUGGUGUGAUCUUGUACUCAGAAGCAAAGCCACAAACCCUUGUUUUUUAUUAAAUU
Glossina fuscipes is the source of this 1227-nucleotide long non-coding RNA. RefSeq lists it as uncharacterized. The record is from RefSeq and is a predicted model, not a curated record. Lineage: Eukaryota; Metazoa; Arthropoda; Insecta; Diptera; Glossinidae. The transcript is spliced from 3 exons.